GAUCAUUUUUGUGCCAGUAGUUGGAUGAUGCCUUUUCAUUUGGAGGCUCCCUCACUGAAUAUGAUUUGGGAUUCCUGAAAGUUCUUCCCAGCCCACUGUAAUCUGAGCCAUGUGUCCUCUUAGUAAACCCCUUUCUGUUCAAACUAGCUGGAGCAUAUUCUGCAGUUUGUCACUGAGAACCUUGACCAGUACCAUGCAAAGCACAUGUUUCUAGGGAAACCAACCUUGGACUUUGCCAACUUGUCGACAGGCUUUGUGAUCCAAAAAAGGCUUCACAUCUCUGGCUCAAAGGAUGGGAAAUGGAGGAAGAGCCUGAAAGGGAACAGUAAGAUCUAUGAGGGAGGCGCUGGCCAGGCCAUUCUGAGAAGAGUUGUUAUUUGUGAUCCAGGACUCAGGAUGGGAGCAGGGUACAGCUGGAGAGGUUUGAAGAAGUGUGUCAAAGAGAAGCAAAGAAAAAUCAAGAACUCUUCCCAAGAGACACAAGAUCUGAGUCUGAGGAGAAGCAGGAAGCUAGCCCCAAAACCAGAGCAUGAACCCAGCAAGUCAGGCUCAAAAGAAGCCAAGACUGAAACCUGGAUUUGCUGAGAUUGGACUAGACUUUUGAUGUAGCAUGAAUUGCCUCAAGGUAUCUGCAUUCUUUAAACAGAAUAAGACGUGCAGAAAUGACUCAUCACUGCAGUCAAAACUUUCUUCUGGGGAUUUAACCUACUUUUCUAUUUCAAAACUUGCACAGACUUUUCAGCCUCCCACUGCAGACUCUUUGGCCUCUUGAUAUGGA
RNAcentral lists this long non-coding RNA (778 nucleotides) under Heterocephalus glaber (naked mole-rat). Its description in RNAcentral is "lncRNA (ENSHGLG00000031922.1)". Lineage: Eukaryota; Metazoa; Chordata; Mammalia; Rodentia; Bathyergidae. The record is from RNAcentral.